Seriola aureovittata is the source of this 1712-nucleotide long non-coding RNA. RefSeq lists it as uncharacterized. The record is from RefSeq and is a predicted model, not a curated record. The transcript is spliced from 3 exons. Lineage: Eukaryota; Metazoa; Chordata; Actinopteri; Carangiformes; Carangidae.
UAAUAAACAGGACAACCGGGCGAUCGGGAUACACCUAGUGUAAUGAAUACUGUGGUUGUAUGAUAAGCUGAAAUGGAUGAGGAAGAAAUGGAAAAUAUCACCAAACACGUGGGGUUAAAGAGGCAAAUCGAGGAGGAUGAACGUGUCAGGUGUUUGUGUCCAUAAAUGAGAAGUUUAUUGGCAGAUUUCAAAAUAAAGUGUAUGAAGUAUUAGCCCACGUCAGUGAUGGUGCCAGUGCAACAUGCUGGAACUGGAAACACAGGCACUGUUUGUCCUCUUAUUAAAUACUGUAACUGCACCCGCUGCAGGCUUGACUGAACAUGUUUCAGAUGUGAAUAUCUCUGAGGUUAGAUAAGGUCAUAUGUGAAACCUAAAGAUGCUGGAAAAAAAAUGUUUAUACAGCCUGUAUAAAAUAACAUUCUACCAUUUUACAUUGAAAAUUCAUAUUCACUCAGUGCUAUCUUUAGCCGUGAAGCUGUGAAAUGACACAGGAUCUUAUGCAAAGUCUUUUUCCUCUUAUAAAUCCCCCCUGAAAACUAAUUUUAUCUCAUGGCCUUCUGCUAUCUCACAGUAAUUUGUUUAUCAUCACAUUUUACCUCUUGUAGUUUUAAUUUCAUUAAUUUUUUCAACCCUCUGUUACUGUAUUACACUUGUUUUCCAAUAAAUCACUUUGUUAUUUUUGAAAAAUUAUGUCAAAAUAAAAGUCAUUUAUCAUCAUUGUAAUUGGAUAUUAUUUUGUUUCUGUUUCUUAUUUUGAUAGUAUGUUGAAAUUAUUAAUCUUUUUAUUAUUAUUAUUAGAAUUAUCAUUAUUAAGGAUGCCAUGCAAUCUAAAUCUUAAAACUGCUGAUAUUAUUGAUUAAUGAGUCUACACAAGGAAAAUGUUCACAUAUUCAUAUUUUUUCAUGAUGCAAUAAAAAAAUCUGAAACAUAUUCAAAUGACUGCUGAUCAUCCAAUUAGGAGCUGACUGAUUGCCUGUCAUGUGCUGACCUUUCAAAGUGCAAUUUAAAUCCAUGGAUGUCUCAGCUCCAAGAGGAGCAACUGUCAUUCUUGGCCGUGGCUCUUCCUGUACAGCGAAUGUGAGCCGAGCCCUCCUCCAUAUCCCCUGUAUUAAAACCUCACAAUAUGCCCAACAACUGCACAGCGGAGGAGAGAGAAUGCAUGGUAUGUGCUUACAGCAUCACAACUCCUCUCCGCUCUCACAUGGACUAAUAUGGCCAACCCAAGGGGGCACAGGACAAUAAACACAUGCAGCACAUUGCUACUGUAAGCACUGCGUGUUGUUUUUUAUUAUUAUUUUGAAAGGAUAAAAAAACUUCCAGUGAUCAGAUCAUAUUAUUUGGUAUGUUUUGUUUGGGAAAUUCUUAUGACUAACAGUGUGUAUCCGAGCACAGCUGUCCCGUCUUUGUUCGUCUGUGUGUUAUCUUGAAUGUUUUGACAUUUAGUGUGACACAAGAAAUACAAACAAAUCUUACGUGUGCUCUAUAUUUAGUCUGUCUUCAAGCAGGUGCUUGGCAUUCCCACCAGAGGGCAAUGGUCAGCUGCAGUUGAACUUCAUUUGUGCAUUUACGUACUGUAGCUUUGCACUGCUGAACCAUCAAACUAAGACUGUCAUGCACUCCAGUUUUAUAUUGUGUAUAAUUACCUUCUAUAGCCAGUGAGUGGAAACAGCAAUGAGAUGUUUUUUUACGCAAUAAACGGACACUUUGAUUUA